Molecule: transfer RNA, 74 nt
Filed under: Cerasibacillus terrae
Lineage: Bacteria; Bacillati; Bacillota; Bacilli; Caryophanales; Bacillaceae
Description: Cerasibacillus sp. CC-CFT480 tRNA-Trp
Rfam family: tRNA
About the family: Transfer RNA (tRNA) molecules are approximately 80 nucleotides in length. Their secondary structure includes four short double-helical elements and three loops (D, anti-codon, and T loops). Further hydrogen bonds mediate the characteristic L-shaped molecular structure. tRNAs have two regions of fundamental functional importance: the anti-codon, which is responsible for specific mRNA codon recognition, and the 3' end, to which the tRNAs corresponding amino acid is attached (by aminoacyl-tRNA synthetases). tRNAs cope with the degeneracy of the genetic code in two manners: having more than one tRNA (with a specific anti-codon) for a particular amino acid; and 'wobble' base-pairing, i.e. permitting non-standard base-pairing at the 3rd anti-codon position.
Source: RNAcentral
AGGGGUAUAGUUUAAUGGCAAAACGAAGGUCUCCAAAACCUUUGAUGUGGGUUCGACUCCUACUACCCCUGCCA